RNAcentral lists this ribosomal RNA (508 nucleotides) under uncultured bacterium. Its description in RNAcentral is "partial 16S ribosomal RNA". It matches the Rfam family "Bacterial small subunit ribosomal RNA", at positions 30 to 523 of the family's 1533-position model. The record is from RNAcentral.
AUUGAACGCUGGCGGCAUGCCUUACACAUGCAAGUCGAACGGCAGCGGGGGAGAAGCUUGCUUUUCCUGCCGGCGAGUGGCGAACGGGUGAGUAAUACAUCGGAACGUGCCCUGUAGUGGGGGAUAACUAGUCGAAAGAUUAGCUAAUACCGCAUACGACCUGAGGGUGAAAGUGGGGGACCGCAAGGCCUCAUGCUAUAGGAGCGGCCGAUGUCUGAUUAGCGAGUUGGUGGGGUAAAGGCCUACCAAGGCGACGAUCAGUAGCUGGUCUGAGAGGACGAUCAGCCACACUGGGACUGAGACACGGCCCAGACUCCUACGGGAGGCAGCAGUGGGGAAUUUUGGACAAUGGGCGAAAGCCUGAUCCAGCAAUGCCGCGUGUGUGAAGAAGGCCUUCGGGUUGUAAAGCAUUUUUGUCCGGAAAGAAAUGGCUCUGGUUAAUACCUGGGGUCGAUGACGGUACCGAAAGAAUAAGGACCGGCUAACUACGUGCCAGCCGCCGCAGUAA